UUAUUCAGUUUGUAUAUUUGAAAUAUGAUGAAAAUUGAUUAGUUAAGUUUUAAUAUCUUUUCAUUUAAUUUGCACGUUUAAAAAUAAAAUAAAUAUUAAUUAGUUAAGUAAUAAUAUUUUGUUUACUAUCAUGAUUUUAUUAUUAUAUUAUUAUAAUUUAUGUAUAAACAUUUAAUUAAGUUAUUCUAAAUUACAUUUUUAAUUAUGUAAGAAUAUAAUUAUAUCAAAUUUGUAUUUAUUAUAUUAUAAUUUACUAUUUCUCUAGUUAUUUAUCAUAUAUAUAUAUAUAUAUAAUAUAAUAUAGUUUUUUCAUCAUUACUUUUUGACAAAUAAAUAACAGAACUAAAAAACUUCACUUUUAUAAUUAUAGUAAUAAACAGGGAGAGAUAAGUACGCUUCAUUUAAGACAAAUAAAUAACAGAACUAAAAAAUUUCACUUUUAUAAUUAUAGAAAUAAACAGGGAGAGAUAAGUACGCUUCAUUUAAACUCUUCUCACUUUCGUUAAAGGAUAUGUUUGGUUGUUCGAAAGUGGAUGAAGUGAAAAAAGUCACUUUUGUAAAAGUGACUUUUUAGUUCGAUUGUUUGGUUUGCUAUAAAUUAAAAACAUUAAAACUAUAAUUUUAUAAUUUUGAUUAUUAAAUUAUAUAUAAAGAGAUAAAAAUAUAAAGAAACGGCUUAUAAUUGCAAUUUAAAUGAAAAGUUUAAUUUAAAUUUAUAUUUAGAAUUCAAAAUUAUAUUUUAAAAUUUAAAUUUAAAGUUAAAUCUGAGUUGAAUUUAUAAUUAAAAUUUAAGACAUAAAUUUAAUUUACAAUUUGAAUUUAAAAUUUAAGUUAUAAUU
Molecule: long non-coding RNA, 839 nt
Filed under: Ananas comosus (pineapple)
Lineage: Eukaryota; Viridiplantae; Streptophyta; Magnoliopsida; Poales; Bromeliaceae
Description: long non-coding RNA (ACOM_LNC002519)
Source: RNAcentral